GCCCCGGGACACGCCGGCAUCGGGCCCGGGAUGGGGCCGCGAUCAGCCGCGGCCCCGCCGGGAAUUUGCUUGGCACACAGCGGGAUCGCCCCCGAGACCGCCGCGGCCACAGCGGGCACCGGCACCGGGAUCAGCCGCAGCACCGCCGGGAUCCCACCGGGAUCAGCCGCAGCACCGCUGGCACUUUCUUGGGACUGUACUGGGAUCAUUGCAGGGAUCGUCGGGGGCGCGCCAGAAUCAGCCUGGGUGUCACUGGGAUCCCACCGGGACCCAGGAAGGGGUCAGCGGGGCGCACCGGGAUCAGCCGUGGGAUUGCGGGGAUCUCCUCCAGGUCAGCCCUGCACCACCAAGGUCUCCUCCAGGUCAGCCCCGCACUCCCAGGAUCACCAGGAUCAGGCACGGCAUCACUAAAUCUCCCCAGGAUCACCAGGACUGUACCAGGCUGACCCCUGGGAUCACCAGGGCCACACCAGGUUCAGCCACGCUAUUCCCCGGAUCUCAGCAUGAUUCCCCUGGGGCCACAUCAGGAUUAGCUGCAGGAUCUCCUUGGGAUCACCCCUGGGAUCCUCAGGAUCUCCCCAGGAGCAGAUGGGAGAUCGCCAGGGCCACACCCAGGUGAGCUGCAGGACUGCCAGGAUCACCAGGGCUACACCUGGAUCACUCACGGAACAGGCAGGAACUUCCCGGGAUCUCUCAGCAUCACACUGGGAUCACCCUCAGGACCACACCAGGAUCAGCAGCACCCCCAGGAUCACACCCUGAGAUCACUCCUGGACAGCAGCACCCCUUGGCACCAGAUCCCUGGGGCUGUUCCAGGCCCCAUUUGCCCUAAAAAUCACUAAAACUCCUUUUUUCAUUUCCCAGGUCAUUUCCCAUCUUUCCAGUCCGUGGGAGAGCUCCUCCAUGGAAUGGUGCCGGAGCACUUCAGGAGACCCAGCUGCUUCUGGGAUGCCUGUUCACAUGGAAUCUUCCAAACCACCUUUACAGAUUCCAAUAUUGAGAUUUGGAGGAUUUUCCCAGUUUUGGGAGCAUGGUGUGGGCAGGAGGGACCCACAGGGAUGAGGUGGGAAGCAGAGGAGGGGUAGAUAUAGGAGAGGACAAAGGAAAGUUUAGUUCCAGUCGUGUGGAAGCUUUUUCCUGGGAAAUCCAGCCUGGCCUGAAUUCCCAGCAGCUUUUGGAACCUCUGGAAUUGGAUCAUGACAAGGAAAAGGUGAUUUCUGGGAUGUUCUCCAAUGCCUUCCCAGGAGCCAGGUGCUGUUAUGGGGACAGAAGGAAGCUCCAACAAAUUCAAACAAACUGAGCCCAUGGAUCCAUUCCUUUUCCCAAAUCUCCAUGGAACUGGGGGUGGCCUGGGGAAAAUCUGGGAUGCCUGAAUUCAGGAUGCUCCCACCAUGGCCGGUGCUGGUUUUGGCAGGAGGAUGUUUCUGACAGCUGGGGGGUGCUGACUUUGGGGCUUUCAGCAUUCUCCUCCCAGAUCCCAAAUCCUUCUGAGCGAGCUGGAGGGGCUCAUCCUGGAGAAGAGGAGGCUCAGGGGGCACCUUCUGGCUCCUGCAGUUCCCUGGAGGAAGGUUGGAGCCAGGAGAGCCUGGGCUCUGCUCCCAGGGAACAGGACAAGAGGGAAUGGCCUCAAGGGCAGGUUCAGGCAGAUCCAACAGGCCAAGCCAUGACUUGCUGCUCCAAUGGGAACAAGCCCAGGAGAGCUGCAGCUCCAGCACCAGGAGAGUGGGAAUCAGGAGCAGCCUGGGUUACCCACAGCAACUUCUGUGCUCUGAUCCUGCCUUUUCCAGAGGCUCGGGAACACAAGUGGUGCUGUUGGAGCUGCCUGGCUCGUGUCCUGUCCAAACAACAGCAUCGAUCCCCAGUAACUCCUGCCUGCCCAAAGGUUGCGUGGUUCACUUUUCCUGCUGUUUAUUUUCACAAAUCGAUGGUGGACGCAAGCAGGAGGCACUUCCUGAGGGGAAUGCUGGGAUCCAGGCUAUGUGAUGGGCAGGAGGGAUAGGGCUUUCUUCUUGCCAGCAGCAGGCACCAGUCCGGGUUUCCUGUGCAUGUUCCGGAGAGUCGCCAUGGUGCUGCUGAAGGUUUGCUGGGAACAGGGAACACAAAGGGAUCACUGAGCUCAGCUCGGCUCUCAGAGCACACUUCUCACCUGUAAAAACUUUUUUCCUGAAAAAUGAAACCAAAUGCCUUCUCAGA
Haemorhous mexicanus (house finch) is the source of this 2193-nucleotide long non-coding RNA. RefSeq lists it as uncharacterized. Lineage: Eukaryota; Metazoa; Chordata; Aves; Passeriformes; Fringillidae. The record is from RefSeq and is a predicted model, not a curated record. The transcript is spliced from 2 exons.